GUUUCAAUAGGUGGCUUUUUUGUUUCGUUUUCACUUGUUUGUCAGCUUUCCAUUUAUAAUGAAAAAAAAAAUGCAAGAUUGCAAAAGCCAGCUUUUUCUGCAGUUUCUUUGGUGCUUUUUGCUAAGCAGCCUUGGAGCUACAAAGGUUCACAGUCUUUGAAACAUAGACUCAUACCCUAGAAAUGUUUACAGUGGAAAAAAAGAGUCCUUAAAAUAUAUGAUCACAUAGAGAAUCAUAUGGGAUCUGCUGCCGAUACACCUUCAGAGGUCUGCACCCUGGUAGGGGUGUGCAUGAAGAGGCCUCCCUCCUCAGACAGGCAUAGGUCGCUGGGUCUGUGGAAAUACUGACUUGGUUUUGAGCUGCUAUACAUACUGGCUUCCUGCAGAGGAGGCACCGUGUCUUUGGUUUUAAUGUUUACAGGGCACCAACUCAAGGUUUAGAAUGAGUACUGUGAUACAAAUAUCCUCAGCCGGAUGACAGAGCUUCCUCUGAAGUUGAUGACGGUGUUGACAGUGAUCAUUUCCAAGUCCAACUGAACAGUGCGGGGCCCUUUCACAGGACGGGUCAUCACCAGCGUAGCACUGAUCGGUCCUGUUUGCCGCAUGUAGAAUUCCCUGCCCUCAUUCCCUGAUUUGAUUUGGAAGAUGUAAUAGGCUCCAGGGUAGCGAGUUGUUGCUUGCAUCUGAAAGAUGUCAGAAGGCACUGAACGCCCAGAGAGAACAUCCAUGACUCUGUACAGGAUGGUGAAUGGUUGAUCUCUGCAGCCAGGGUUUUCAGCUGGACACAUACAGCGGUGAUAAGUGUUUUUCCAGUCUAACUUCCCACACAUCUGAGCAUCAUAUCAU
This 846-nucleotide long non-coding RNA is filed under the name Gallus gallus (chicken). The record is from RNAcentral. Lineage: Eukaryota; Metazoa; Chordata; Aves; Galliformes; Phasianidae.